This 190-nucleotide ribosomal RNA is filed under the name uncultured bacterium. Its description in RNAcentral is "partial 16S ribosomal RNA". It matches the Rfam family "Bacterial small subunit ribosomal RNA", at positions 1301 to 1500 of the family's 1533-position model. The record is from RNAcentral.
CAGGCUGCAACCCGCCUGCACGAAGCCGGAGUUGCUAGUAAUCGCGAAUCAGAAUGUCGCGGUGAAUGCGUCCCCGGGUCUUGUACACACCGCCCGUCACACCAUGGAAGUUGGGGGUGCCCAAAGCCGGCAAGCAAAUAUGCUGUCUAAGGCAAAACCAAUGACUGGGGUGAAGUCGUAACAAGGUACC